RNAcentral lists this ribosomal RNA (253 nucleotides) under uncultured bacterium. Its description in RNAcentral is "partial 16S ribosomal RNA". It matches the Rfam family "Bacterial small subunit ribosomal RNA", at positions 524 to 776 of the family's 1533-position model. The record is from RNAcentral.
UACGUAGGGGGCUAGCGUUGUCCGGAAUCAUUGGGCGUAAAGCGCGUGUAGGCGGUCCGGUAAGUCCGCUGUGAAAGUCGAGGGCUCAACCCUCGAAAGCCGGUGGAUACUGUCGGGCUUGAGUACGGGAGAGGCGAGUGGAAUUCCUGGUGUAGCGGUGAAAUGCGCAGAUAUCAGGAGGAACACCGAUUGCGAAGGCAGCUCGCUGGAACGUUACUGACGCUGAGACGCGAAAGCGUGGGUAGCGAACAGG